Molecule: unclassified non-coding RNA, 273 nt
Filed under: Byssomerulius corium
Lineage: Eukaryota; Fungi; Basidiomycota; Agaricomycetes; Polyporales; Irpicaceae
Description: partial internal transcribed spacer region
Rfam family: Eukaryotic small subunit ribosomal RNA (bases 1-46)
Source: RNAcentral
AAGUCGUAACAAGGUUUCCGUAGGUGAACCUGCGGAAGGAUCAUUAUCGAGUUUUCUGAACGGGUUGUCGCUGGCCUUUCACGAGGCAUGUGCACGCCUGGUUCAUCCACUCUCAACCUCUGUGCACUCUAUGUAAGAAACGGUGGAUGUGCUGGCUCUUUGAGUCGGUAAGAAAGCCUUUUCUUAUGUUUUACUACAAACGCUUCAGUUAUAGAAUGUUUACUGUGUAUAACACAAUAUAUACAACUUUCAGCAACGGAUCUCUUGGCUCUC